UGCCAGCAGCCGCGGUAACACGUAGGCACCAAGCGUUAUCCGGAUUUAUUGGGUUUAAAGGGUGCGCAGGCGGAACUUUAAGUCAGUGGUGAAAUCUUGCCGCUUAACGGUAAAAUUGCCAUUGAAACUGAAGUUCUUGAAUGUAGUUGAGGUAGGCGGAAUGUGUUGUGUAGCGGUGAAAUGCAUAGAUAUGACACAGAACGCCAAUUGCGAAGGCAGCUUACUAAGCUACGAUUGACGCUGAGGCACGAACGCGUGGGGCGCGAACAGGCUUCGAUA
Molecule: ribosomal RNA, 279 nt
Filed under: uncultured bacterium
Lineage: Bacteria
Description: partial 16S ribosomal RNA
Rfam family: Bacterial small subunit ribosomal RNA
Source: RNAcentral